Molecule: ribosomal RNA, 305 nt
Filed under: uncultured bacterium
Lineage: Bacteria
Description: bacterial SSU rRNA
Rfam family: Bacterial small subunit ribosomal RNA
Source: RNAcentral
CCUACGGGGGGCAGCAGUGAGGAAUAUUGGUCAAUGGCCGAGAGGCUGAACCAGCCAAGUCGCGCGAGGGAAGACGGCCCUACGGGUUGUAAACCUCUUUUGUCGGGGAGCAAAGAGAGUCACGUGCGACUCAUUGAGAGUACCCGAAGAAAAAGCAUCGGCUAACUCCGUGCCAGCAGCCGCGGUAAUACAGAGGAUGCGAGCGUUAUCCGGAUUUAUUGGGUUUAAAGGGUGCGCAGGCGGAGGUGCAAGUCAGCGGUCAAAUUGCGGGGCUCAACCCUGUACUGCCGUUGAAACUGCAUCCC